RNA transcript from Mus musculus (house mouse), 3471 nucleotides. It is a transcript of the gene named retinal pigment epithelium 65, with no coding region annotated. The record is from RefSeq and is marked validated. Lineage: Eukaryota; Metazoa; Chordata; Mammalia; Rodentia; Muridae. The transcript is spliced from 14 exons.
UUUUGUUACCUUCCAUCAGCUGAGGGGUGGAGAGGGUUCCCAGAGCCGCAGGCUCCUCCAAUAAGGAUUAGAUUGCAUACAAAAAAGCCCUGGCUAAGAACUUGCUUCCUCAUCCUACAGCUGGUACCAGAACUCUCUCUAAUCUUCACUGGAAGAAAAUGUCUAUCCAAAUUGAACACCCUGCUGGUGGCUACAAGAAACUAUUUGAAACUGUGGAGGAACUGUCCUCACCACUAACAGCUCAUGUCACAGGCAGGAUUCCCCUCUGGCUCACUGGCAGUCUCCUCCGAUGUGGGCCAGGGCUCUUUGAAGUUGGAUCUGAGCCUUUCUAUCACCUGUUUGAUGGACAAGCCCUUUUGCACAAGUUUGACUUCAAGGAGGGCCAUGUCACAUACCACAGAAGAUUCAUCCGCACUGAUGCUUAUGUUCGAGCAAUGACUGAGAAGAGGAUUGUCAUAACAGAAUUUGGCACCUGUGCUUUCCCAGACCCCUGCAAGAAUAUAUUUUCCAGGUUUUUUUCUUACUUUAAAGGAGUAGAGGUUACUGACAAUGCCCUUGUAAAUAUCUACCCAGUGGGAGAAGAUUACUAUGCAUGCACAGAGACCAACUUUAUCACAAAGAUUAACCCAGAGACCUUGGAGACAAUUAAGCAGGUUGAUCUUUGCAACUAUAUUUCUGUCAAUGGUGCCACUGCUCAUCCACAUAUUGAAAGUGAUGGAACAGUUUACAACAUUGGGAAUUGCUUUGGAAAAAAUUUUACAGUUGCCUACAACAUUAUUAAGAUCCCUCCACUGAAAGCAGACAAGGAAGAUCCAAUAAACAAGUCAGAAGUUGUUGUGCAGUUCCCCUGCAGUGAUCGUUUCAAGCCAUCUUAUGUACACAGUUUUGGUCUGACUCCCAACUAUAUCGUUUUUGUGGAGACUCCAGUCAAAAUUAACCUUUUCAAGUUUCUUUCUUCGUGGAGUCUUUGGGGAGCCAACUACAUGGACUGUUUCGAGUCCAAUGAAAGCAUGGGGGUUUGGCUUCAUGUUGCUGAUAAAAAAAGAAGAAAAUACUUCAAUAACAAAUACAGGACUUCCCCUUUCAAUCUCUUCCAUCAUAUCAAUACUUAUGAAGACAAUGGAUUUCUGAUUGUGGAUCUCUGUUGCUGGAAAGGGUUUGAAUUUGUUUAUAAUUACUUAUAUUUAGCCAAUUUACGUGAGAAUUGGGAAGAAGUUAAAAGAAAUGCUAUGAAGGCUCCUCAGCCUGAAGUCAGGAGAUAUGUACUUCCUUUGACAAUUGACAAGGUCGACACAGGCAGAAAUUUAGUCACACUGCCCCAUACAACUGCCACAGCCACUCUGCGCAGUGAUGAGACCAUAUGGCUGGAACCUGAGGUUCUCUUUUCAGGGCCUCGUCAAGCCUUUGAAUUUCCUCAAAUCAAUUACCAGAAAUUUGGAGGGAAACCUUAUACUUAUGCAUACGGACUUGGGUUGAAUCACUUUGUUCCUGACAAGCAGCUCUGUAAGAUGAACGUCAAAACUAAAGAAAUCUGGAUGUGGCAAGAGCCAGAUUCUUACCCAUCUGAACCCAUCUUUGUUUCUCAACCAGAUGCUCUGGAAGAAGAUGAUGGUAAUGGAAUCAAUGAGUGUCUGGACUUUGCUUUAUAUUGAAAUUCAGUGUGUUCUCUAUUAGGAAAGGGGUUGGGCUGAUUAUUUACUAACUUUCAAAUGGUGGUUCUUAAACUGAAUGGAACUGCACCAGAAUUGAAUUUCUGUGGUCAGGUCUUGGAGAUCACUACUAGAAAAAACAAAAUGCAACCAACCAAAACAAAAACAAAACACCACAGUAAAACACCUUCUGCAGCAUAGUGAAGCUCUGAAUGGAAGGGAUAAGAAAAGGCAUAACAGCAAGAAUUCUAACAGCCUUUCUUCAGCAAACUAUAUUUUUGAAUAAGCAGAUGGAGUUCUAAGAAGGGAAAUAAAAUAUUAUAGCAGAUCAAUGAAUGUGCAUGUCUGGGACUCUAGUUCUCAUUUGUUUGUUUUAUUAAGUUGAGGCUAAACAAGAACCCUAGCCACAGCAUAUAAUAAAGCAACUGCAUUACAUAGCAUCAGUCUUGAUUAAGCAUUGCUGCUAGGAAGCCUAGAAAGCUAGAUCAGUGCUUAAGAGUACUGCCUGCUGUUGUUGAAGACAGGGUUCAACUCCCAGCACCCACAUUAUAGCUCACAACCAGCUGUACCUUCAGCUUCAGGUGACUCAGAACCUUCUUCUGGCCUCGGUGGACACCAGAAAUAUAUAUGCUACACAGGUACUUAUGCAAACAAAAUGACCAUACACAUAAAAAUAAUAAAAGAAUUUAAAAACAUUAAUGCAAAGAUAGGAGAAUGUAUUACAUUCUGUAGGGUUAAAGUUUUAAAAUAUAGGAAAACAUAAAAGAAUGAUAAAUAAUUUUGGUGGCCAUUUUUAAUAAGUGGUUUUAUAUUCACACCACACAUUGAAAAGUAUAAAAGUUAGGUUUUCAUUAUGUUUGAAAGAAGUAAACUUACAUAUAAGUCUUGAAAUUUAUAGUUAUAACACUCUUCUGCUUUAAAAGUUUUAAAGUGUACAUUUUUAUUAGUCAUAACUUAUAUUAAAGAUAAGAACAUAGAUCUGCUCCCUUAGUCAACAUUGAUGAGUUAGUACUUUGAUCUGGUUGUUGUAAUAAGAAACUGUGGUGUCUUAUUACAGACAAGGUCACUCCCUUCCUGAGGAUAGUGCUAGUCCAGGAAGAAAGGGUUUAAAGUAUUCCUUCAAGUGGUCACACAGCCAGGUUAUUAAAAAGCCAAACAGCUGGGCAAUGGCGGCACUUGCCUUGAAUCCCAGCACUUUGGAGGCAGAGGCAGGUGGAUUUCUGAAUUUGAGGCCAACCUGGUCUACAGAGUGACAGCCUGGCCUCCAGGACAGCUAGGGCUACACAGAAAAACUCUGUCUCGAAAAAUCAAAAAACAAAACCAAAAACCAAAAAACAAAAACAAAAAACAGAAUCACAAUAAGUCACAUGGUUUUCUAUGUGACUUAUUUCUAUGUGAUUUCUAUUUCUUAAUGUAAUAGCACCUUACUACCUAUAUAAUUUCAAUGUCAGAUAAUCAUAAAACCUGACUUUAAAAUUGCAAAACUGCCUUAAUUAACAGGUGUGGUUCUGAGUGUGGUGGUGAGCCCUGGGGCAGGGCAAAAGCCUGCAUAUCUCCUGGUUCUGAAUGCCAAAGACUUGAGUGAAAUUGCCAGGGCUGAAGUGGAGACUAAUAUCCCUGUGACCUUCCAUGGACUGUUCAAAAGAUCCUGAACAUAUUCCAGAUGGCUCAGCAGUACAACACUGACUGCCCUUCUACAGAUCGUGUGUUCAAUUCCCAAAGAUCACCUGGUGACUCACUUCCAUCUGAGACGGAAUCCAAUGCCCUCUUAUGCUGUUUCUGAAGACAGCAAAAGUGUACUCAUAUAUACAUAUGAUAAAUA